ACGGAAGGCAGCAGUGGGGAAUAUUGCACAAUGGGGGAAACCCUGAUGCAGCGACGCCGCGUGAGCGAAGAAGUAUUUCGGUAUGUAAAGCUCUAUCAGCAGGGAAGAAAAUGACGGUACCUGACUAAGAAGCCCCGGCUAACUACGUGCCAGCAGCCGCGGUAAUACGUAGGGGGCAAGCGUUAUCCGGAUUUACUGGGUGUAAAGGGAGCGUAGACGGCAAGGUAAGUCUGAAGUGAAAUGCCGGGGCUCAACCCCGGAACUGCAUUUGAAACUGUAGCCCUUGAGUAUCGGAGAGGCAAGCGGAAUUCCUAGUGUAGCGGUGAAAUGCGUAGAUAUUAGGAGGAACACCAGUGGCGAAGGCGGCUUGCUGGACGACAACUGACGCUGAGGCGCGAAAGCGUGGGGAGCAAACAGGAUUAGAUACCCUGGUA
This 434-nucleotide ribosomal RNA is filed under the name uncultured Clostridium sp. RNAcentral describes it as "partial 16S ribosomal RNA". It matches the Rfam family "Bacterial small subunit ribosomal RNA", at positions 341 to 792 of the family's 1533-position model. Lineage: Bacteria; Bacillati; Bacillota; Clostridia; Eubacteriales; Clostridiaceae. The record is from RNAcentral.